GCCACCGUAGCGCAGAGGUUAGCAUGUCCGCCUAUGACGCUGAACGCCUGGGUUCGAAUCCUCAGCGGUGGCU
Non-coding RNA from Stomoxys calcitrans (stable fly), 73 nucleotides. NCBI's taxonomy places the organism in Eukaryota, Metazoa, Arthropoda, Insecta, Diptera, Muscidae. The record is from Rfam.